Long non-coding RNA from Oncorhynchus masou masou (cherry salmon), 2781 nucleotides. RefSeq lists it as uncharacterized. Lineage: Eukaryota; Metazoa; Chordata; Actinopteri; Salmoniformes; Salmonidae. The record is from RefSeq and is a predicted model, not a curated record. The transcript has 3 exons.
CCUCCAGUACAUUACUAAAUUUCUCCAUCAGUUCCGACGAGGUUUUCAUAAGCGGAGAAAUGUGAACAACUUGAACAAGCCAUGAUCAGAGGGAAACACAUACCCUUUGACCCUAGAGAAGGUUCUCCUUUUCACUUCGGUGGCUUCAGCCAUUCCUAGGCUGGGAUUGCCAGUGGAGCCACAGCCAGUUCUUACACAAACAAGAGAAUAAGUCUACCAGGAUCUUCCCGGAAGCAGAUACAUGCAGCAUUGUUUUAAGGCUACCAAUUCACCCAACCCUACGCAGCCUUCAGGGAGGAAACGGAGAGUUGAAUUCUACAGUCACCAACAUUUGGUGUCAUUGUCCAAGACUCCAGCCAAUCAAGUCAUAGACUGUUCUCCCUGCUACCGCACGGCAAGUGGUACCGGGGCACCAAGUCUAGGUCCAAGAGGCUUCUAAACAGCUUCUACCCCUAAUCAAACGGCUACCCAGACUAUUUACAUUGACCCCCCCCUCUCUCUUUUCUGCUGCUGCUACUACUUUGUUAUUAUCUAUGCAUAGUCACUUUAAUAUCACUUUAUCUCUACCUACAUGUAUAUAUUACCUCAACUAACCGGUGCCCCAGUACAUUGACUCUGUGCCGGUACCCCUGUAUAUAGCCUCGCUAUUGUUAUUUUACUGCUGCUCUAAUUAUUAUUGUUAUUUUAUUUUUUGGUAUUUUUCUUAACUACAUUGUUGGUUAAGGGCUUGUAAGUAAGCAUUUCACUCCAAGGUCAACACUUGUUGUAUUCAGCGCAUGUGACAAAUAACAUUUGAUUUAAAGGGAAUUCAUUUAAGGGGAAUUAUCCAAAACGUUUAUUGCAUGACCACCUAGUAAGUUCGGAAUAAAAUAAAAUCAAAUUUAUUUAUAUAGCCCUUCGUACAUCAGCUGAUAUCUCAAAGUGCUGUACAGAAACCCAGCCUAAAACCCCAAACAGCAAGCAAUGCAAGUGUAGAAGCACGGUUGCUAGGAAAAACUCCCUAGAAAGGCCAAAACCUAGGAAGAAACCUAGAGAGGAACCAGGCUAUGUGGGGUGGCCAGUCCUCUUCUGGCUGUGCCGGGUGGAGAUUAUAACAGAACAUGGCCAAGAUGAUCAAAUGUUCAUAAAUGACCAGCAUGGUCCAAUAAUAAUAAGGCAGAACAGUUGAAACUGGAGCAGCAGCACGGCCAGGUGGACUGGGGACAGCAAGGAGUCAUCAUGUCAGGUAGUCCUGAGGCAUGGUCCUAGGGCUCAAGUCCUCUGAGAGAGAGAAAGAAAGAGAGAAAGAGAGAAUUAGAGAGAGCACACUUAAAUUCACACAGGACACCGAAUAGGACUGGAGAAGUACUCCAGAUAUAACAAACUGACCCUAGCCCCCCGACACAUAAACUACUGCAGCAUAAAUACUGGAGGCUGAGACAGGAGGGGUCAGGAGACACUGUGGCCCCAUCCGAGGACACCCCCGGACAAUACCGCAGCCAAUAUUAAUUGGUGAUGUGUGCCAAAAUGAUUGAUAUUAUGAAUGUUUCUGACAAGAUUGGCCAUCAGCAAAAAAAAGUUGUGUAGUGAAAGUUUUCAAAAACAACCAACCAGAAUAAAUUGGACAGUAAUACAUAAUGCAGCUUUAAUAUUUUAAUAAAUGUGUGAUUUCUUAGUAGAGUGGGGAGACUGGUCAUUAUGCAAAGUAGUUAAGUCAUGAAUGUCAAGGGGCUAUAAUAUUACAAUAUGUGCAAUGUUACCAUAAAUCUUACAGUAAAUAUGGACAACAUUUAAUUUACAUGUGUUAUGGCAAUAAAAACAGACCCUGUGGUUCAUCGGUGGGCAACUCCAGUCCUCGAGGGCCUGAUUGGUGUCACACUCUUUCUCCAUCCCUACCAAACACAGCUGAUUAAUCAAAUUGCAUUCUAAACUGAAGAUCAUGAUUAGGUGAUUAUUGAAGUCAGUUGUGUUAGCUGGGGCUGUGGCAAAACUGACGCCAAUCAGGCCCUCGAGGACUGGAAUUACCCACACCUGCUGUAGUUGGUACAUAGUUCGUGGUGCAGCAAGUUGAUGAGGGUAGCGGAGAAGCACUGGUCGGACUUUUUGAGUGAAGUGACUAAGGGUGAAAAGGAUAUAUCAGGGUGCCCAGGAACUUGAAGCUGCUGAUCAUCUCCAUGUCAAUGUAUCGUGUAUAUGGGAGAAUGGUCUUUCAGUCUCACCAUCUACUUUGCUUACACUGAGGCUGUUAUCCUAUCAUCAUUAUGUCAGGUCCCACAGCUCCUUCAUGUACUCGUGAUCAGGUGUACCAUGGUAGUGUUGUCAGCAUGUUUAGAUGUUGGGUCCAUUCUGGAGAUAUAUAUUCUUGUAAUAUGUAUAUAAAAAAAUGAAUUUGUUUUUACAGGGUUUACACCCAGAGGCCUGAGUCUGCUAACAAGUUUGUGGGUCAGGAUGGUGUUGAAAGCAGAGAGACACAGCAAUCAUAACAACCAGCGACACUCCAUCCUAAAGUGUCUGAAGAAGUUUUGCCUGACGUCAAACAUGAAGAGUGUCGGAUUGAAGUGUUUGAAAAAAUGUAAACCACCAUAAGAGCAGAUCACUUUUUUUGUAAUCAUUACUGGCACAGUGAUUUUAAAAUCAUUUCUAAUUCUAGUCGCUUUCAAUUGAUUGACUCCAAGAACCAUAGAUUGUUCGUAGUUCAUAACAUUAACACAACUGACAUUAAACGUUGCUUGACCGUAGAUUGGGAUACAUGUUUUAAUAACAUUGGAUAUUUGAUUGGGCUUAAUGUUGCAUACCUUGCGG